GUAGGGAAUAUUGGACAAUGGGGGCAACCCUGAUCCAGCGACGCCGCGUGAGUGAUGAAGGCCUUCGGGUCGCAAAGCUCUGUUGCAGGGGAAGAACACAAUGACGGUACCCUGCUAGAAAGGAUCGGCUAACUUCGUGCCAGCAGCCGCGGUAAGACGAGGGAUCCUAGCGUUGUUCGGAAUUAUUGGGCGUAAAGCGGGUGCAGGUGGCUUGGUAAGUCAGAUGUGAAAGCCUGGGGCUUAACCCCAGAAGUGCAUUUGAUACUGCUGAGCUUGAGUGCUGGAGAGGCUAGUAGAAUUCCUGGUGUAGUGGUGAAAUACGUAGAUAUCAGGAGGAAUACCGGAGGCGAAGGCGGAUAGCUGGCCAGACACUGACACUCAGACCCGAAAGCGUGGGGAUCAAACAGGAUUAGAUACCCGUGUAGUCC
This 428-nucleotide ribosomal RNA is filed under the name uncultured bacterium. RNAcentral's name for it is "partial 16S ribosomal RNA". It matches the Rfam family "Bacterial small subunit ribosomal RNA", at positions 354 to 796 of the family's 1533-position model. The record is from RNAcentral.